GGGGGGUCAUGUGGGGGUAGGGGUGUCUACAGUGCACCCAUGUUUCUCACCGUUGUCUGUCCUAAGAAAUCAUGUUGUGUUGUGGUUGUGCCGAACAACUCUAUGCUUACGAUUCAGACACCUAAUAUCUAAAGCACCCUGUCUCUCUUCUAUUUUAUCUUUACUUCAUAUCCCUCCUUGAGUAGUAUUAUAAGUAUAAGCUAUGAAUUGAUAAGUGUUACUUCCAUUCAUGACGUUUAUGCUCGGGUCCCU
RNAcentral lists this long non-coding RNA (252 nucleotides) under Capsicum annuum. Its description in RNAcentral is "long non-coding RNA (CANN_LNC013190)". Lineage: Eukaryota; Viridiplantae; Streptophyta; Magnoliopsida; Solanales; Solanaceae. The record is from RNAcentral.